This 220-nucleotide long non-coding RNA is filed under the name Vigna radiata. RNAcentral describes it as "long non-coding RNA (VRAD_LNC015252)". The record is from RNAcentral. Lineage: Eukaryota; Viridiplantae; Streptophyta; Magnoliopsida; Fabales; Fabaceae.
GCUCAUUGAUGUCAUUGGGCAUUCAUUUCAUAUUUCUUUAAAGGGUUUGGUGAGAUGUUUGAUAUGAUUUGUUCCUUAACUGAUCAGGGUUUGAAGUGAUUCAAUAGGUACAAAAAAGUGGUUGUUUUUUAUUACAUCCAAGUGAUGUUUGGUGGAAAGAGGAAUACGACCAAUUAUAUGUUGUGGUAAUCGACCAUGACCAACAAGGGUCCUUGAUGAG